This 255-nucleotide ribosomal RNA is filed under the name uncultured bacterium. RNAcentral describes it as "partial 16S ribosomal RNA". It matches the Rfam family "Bacterial small subunit ribosomal RNA", at positions 524 to 777 of the family's 1533-position model. The record is from RNAcentral.
UACGAAGGGGGCUAGCGUUGCUCGGAAUCACUGGGCGUAAAGGGUGCGUAGGCGGGUCUUUAAGUCAGGGGUGAAAUCCUGGAGCUCAACUCCAGAACUGCCUUUGAUACUGAAGAUCUUGAGUUCGGGAGAGGUGAGUGGAACUGCGAGUGUAGAGGUGAAAUUCGUAGAUAUUCGCAAGAACACCAGUGGCGAAGGCGGCUCACUGGCCCGAUACUGACGCUGAGGCACGGAAAGCGUGGGGAGCAAACAGGG